RNAcentral lists this ribosomal RNA (465 nucleotides) under Vreelandella stevensii. Its description in RNAcentral is "partial 16S ribosomal RNA". It matches the Rfam family "Bacterial small subunit ribosomal RNA", at positions 338 to 795 of the family's 1533-position model. Lineage: Bacteria; Pseudomonadati; Pseudomonadota; Gammaproteobacteria; Oceanospirillales; Halomonadaceae. The record is from RNAcentral.
CCUACGGGUGGCUGCAGUGGGGAAUAUUGGACAAUGGGCGAAAGCCUGAUCCAGCCAUGCCGCGUGUGUGAAGAAGGCCUUCGGGUUGUAAAGCACUUUCAGUGGGGAAGAAAGCCUUGGGGCUAAUACCCUCGAGGAAGGACAUCACCCACAGAAGAAGCACCGGCUAACUCCGUGCCAGCAGCCGCGGUAAUACGGAGGGUGCGAGCGUUAAUCGGAAUUACUGGGCGUAAAGCGCGCGUAGGCGGUCUGAUAAGCCGGUUGUGAAAGCCCCGGGCUCAACCUGGGAACGGCAUCCGGAACUGGCAGGCGAGAGUGCAGGAGAGGAAGGUAGAAUUCCCGGUGUAGCGGUGAAAUGCGUAGAGAUCGGGAGGAAUACCAGUGGCGAAGGCGGCCUUCUGGACUGACACUGACGCUGAGGUGCGAAAGCGUGGGUAGCAAACAGGAUUAGAUACCCGAGUAGUC